This is a long non-coding RNA of Aphis gossypii (cotton aphid), 504 nucleotides long. RefSeq lists it as uncharacterized. The record is from RefSeq and is a predicted model, not a curated record. NCBI's taxonomy places the organism in Eukaryota, Metazoa, Arthropoda, Insecta, Hemiptera, Aphididae. The transcript has 4 exons.
AAUGGUUUAUCGGUUAUAAUUUUAUGAUCAAUGAUUUCAGACUGUUUAGAUUCAAGUGUAGUUGUUUUAGAUACCUCAUCAGUGGUGUCAGUUUUUUCAACGGUUUUUAAUGUAACUGAAUCCUUAGAGUCAGUUUUAUCAAUUUUAGUUUUAUCAGAUGUUGUUAUUUUGGAAUCUUUAUCGUGUUCUACAAUGUCAUCGAAAUCUCUUUCACUAAUAAUUGAUUUAACACUUUCUUUCGAAUCAGAUUUUGUUAGGAUGGAUGUUUCGGUCAAUGGUUUAUCGGUUAUAAUUUUAGAUUCAAUUGUAGUUAUUUUAGAUACCUCAUCAGUGGUGUCAGUUUUAUGAAGUUUAGUUUUAUCAGAGGUUGUUAUUUUGGUAUCUUUGUCGAGUUCUACAUUGUCAUCGAAAUCUUUUUCACUAAUUAUUGAUUUAACACUUUCUUUCGAAUCAGAUUUUGUUAGGAUGGAUGUUUCGGGCAAAGGUUUAUCGGUUAUAAUUUUA